AGAGUUUGAUCAUGGCUCAGAUUGAACGCUGGCGGCAUGCUUUACACAUGCAAGUCGAGCGGCAGCGCGGGGGCAACCCUGGCGGCGAGCGGCGAACGGGUGAGUAACAUAUCGGAACGUAUCCUGUAGUGGGGGAUAACGCAGCGAAAGCUGUGCUAAUACCGCAUACGAUCUACGGAUGAAAGUGGGGGACCGCAAGGCCUCACGUUAUAGGAGCGGCCGAUAUUCGAUUAGCUUGUUGGUGAGGUAAAGGCUCACCAAGGCUGCGAUCGAUAGCUGGUCUGAGAGGAUGAUCAGCCACACUGGGACUGAGACACGGCCCAGACUCCUACGGGAGGCAGCAGUGGGGAAUUUUGGACAAUGGGGGCAACCCUGAUCCAGCCAUUCCGCGUGAGUGAAGAAGGCCUUCGGGUUGUAAAGCUCUUUUGGCAGGGAAGAAACGGUUGCGGUGAAUAUCCGCGACUACUGACGGUACCUGCAGAAUAAGCACCGGCUAACUACGUGCCAGCAGCCGCGGUAAUACGUAGGGUGCGAGCGUUAAUCGGAAUUACUGGGCGUAAAGCGUGCGCAGGCGGUUUUGUAAGCCAGAUGUGAAAUCCCCGGGCUUAACCUGGGAAUGGCAUUUGGGACUGCAAGGCUAGAAUCUGGCAGAGGGGGGUAGAAUUUCACGUGUAGCAGUGAAAUGCGUAGAUAUGUGGAGGAAUCCGAUGGCGAAGGC
This 718-nucleotide ribosomal RNA is filed under the name uncultured bacterium. Its description in RNAcentral is "bacterial SSU rRNA". It matches the Rfam family "Bacterial small subunit ribosomal RNA", at positions 8 to 722 of the family's 1533-position model. The record is from RNAcentral.